Molecule: ribosomal RNA, 582 nt
Filed under: Levilactobacillus namurensis
Lineage: Bacteria; Bacillati; Bacillota; Bacilli; Lactobacillales; Lactobacillaceae
Description: bacterial SSU rRNA
Rfam family: Bacterial small subunit ribosomal RNA
Source: RNAcentral
GGAAACAGGUGCUAAUACCGUAUAACAACAAAAACCGCAUGGUUUUUUGUUUGAAAGGUGGCUUCGGCUAUCACUUCUGGAUGGUUCCGCGGCGCAUUAGCUUGUUGGUGGGGUAACGGCUCACCAAGGCGAUGAUGCGUAGCCGACCUGAGAGGGUAAUCGGCCACAUUGGGACUGAGACACGGCCCAGACUCCUACGGGAGGCAGCAGUAGGGAAUCUUCCACAAUGGACGCAAGUCUGAUGGAGCAAUGCCGCGUGAGUGAAGAAGGGUUUCGGCUCGUAAAACUCUGUUGUUGAAGAAGAACGGGUGUCAGAGUAACUGUUGACAUCGUGACGGUAUUCAACCAGAAAGCCACGGCUAACUACGUGCCAGCAGCCGCGGUAAUACGUAGGUGGCAAGCGUUGUCCGGAUUUAUUGGGCGUAAAGCGAGCGCAGGCGGUUUCUUAAGUCUGAUGUGAAAGCCUUCGGCUUAACCGAAGAAGUGCAUCGGAAACUGGGGAACUUGAGUGCAGAAGAGGACAGUGGAACUCCAUGUGUAGCGGUGGAAUGCGUAGAUAUAUGGAAGAACACCAGUGGCGAA